AGUGAGGGGCGGGACAAGUGCCCGGAGGACAGACAGAUGGGGCGACACUGGCUGGUGGAGGGGAGGGGCAGGCGAGGAGCGGGGGCAGGCCCGGAAGAAAUGGGGACCCGGCAGGCGGUGACGGAGGCGGCACGCGCGGAGAUGGAUACUGGGCCAGCCACGAAAGCCUCCGCCCCCUCGAAGCGGGCUCCCUCGCCGCCAACUCUAGUGAAGAAGCAGCCCUUCUCCCCGGCGCCCGCUGGUUUGCAGAGGCCUGCUAUGAAGAGCUUGUGCAAGUAAAGCGUUUGCUGAGCGGAAACAGGCUGCGGGUGGCUGCGGCAGGCAUGGAGCCGACGCGGAUCUUUUGCAAACAUCUUUAUUAAUCUCAUAUAAAAAUAAGGUCCAUGGACGGUC
Molecule: long non-coding RNA, 393 nt
Filed under: Homo sapiens (human)
Lineage: Eukaryota; Metazoa; Chordata; Mammalia; Primates; Hominidae
Description: non-protein coding lnc-SPATA32-4:5
Source: RNAcentral